GCUUGGCACACUCCGGAAGCUUAAGAAACCCUCCCUGUGGAGGGAACAUUUACAAGGUUUCUAUGGAAACAUUAAAUCCGCUCUAAAUGUCUGUGGCUAUCCUAAUGACUGGGAAAGAGGCAUCCAAGACGAGCCCAGGACACACCAGCAAAGAAGAAAAAUGACCUCUCAGAAGCCCCAAAACAGUGAGUCACAUUCUGCUGGUAGGAGUGGGGGUUUGCCAUCCCAGAAGCCAGUAGCGACCGUAUUUAUAACCCGUGAUAGUUGCUCUCCAUCAGCUUGACUGGGUUUUGAAUCAUCCAGAAGGCAUGCCACUAGGCUGUGAGAUUGUUUCCAGACAGGAUUAAAUAAGGGGAGAAGACUCGGCCUGAUUGUGGGUGGCAUCAGCCCAAGGACUGGGGUUCCAGACAGAAUAAAAAGGGAUAAAGGAAAGAGACAGCUGAUGGUUUCACUGCAGACACAUGACCCCAGCACCUCGUGCUCCCCCUGCCCAGGUUGGAUGCCUCCUUUCCUAAAUCAUAAGCCAAAAAUCCCUUCUUCCCUACCAUUGCUUGGGACACAUGUUUCCCCCACAGCGAUUACAGAAGCAAGUAAGCUGUAAACACCGGCCUCACCACCGGCUCCUCGACCGACCGACGCUCUAUAUAAGUCAGGACUCUACAGCGUGAACUUGGGAUGAGGACAAGACUCAGGCACUCAGACACUCACACAGACGCACACUAGCUCAUCCGCUGGGACAGCGGGUGUGCGAGAGCUCGCUGCCUGGCUUGACUGCAUCAUUGGUGUGCACGAGUAUCUCUCCCCCUCUCGUUUUAAAUUGAAUUUCCAUUUGGCAAAAUAUUGUGAGCUCUCUCUCUCUCUCUAACCGUGGAUUCUCUCUUUUUCUAUUUUAUUUUAAGUAAUUGAUUAAUUUUAAA
Molecule: non-coding RNA, 917 nt
Organism: Rattus norvegicus (Norway rat)
Lineage: Eukaryota; Metazoa; Chordata; Mammalia; Rodentia; Muridae
Source: RefSeq, a predicted model, not a curated record